GGUCAAGCUACUAAGGGCGAACGGUGGAUGCCUUGGCGCCAGGAGACGAUGAAGGACGUGGCUAGCUGCGAUAAGCCUCGGGGAGCCGCCAGCGGGCUUAGAUCCGAGGAUUUCCGAAUGGGGAAACCCGGCCAGGGUCAUACCUGGUCAUCGUGCGGUGAAUGCAUAGCCGUACGAGGUGGACGGGGGGAAGUGAAAUAUCUCAGUACCCCCAGGAAAAGAAAUCAAUCAGAGAUUCCCUGAGUAGCGACGAGCGAACGGGGAACAGCCCAAACCGGUGAAAUGUAAGCCUGCAAGCGUUGUUUCACCGGGGUUGUGGGACUCAGUCGGAGGGCGUUGCAGCACCCUCGGGAAGUUACCAAUCCGGACCGUAGCUGAAGGGCAUGGAAAGGCCCACGAUACAGAGUGAUAGUCUCGUAGGCGAAACGGUACCAGACUUCCUUGAUUGAGUUCCCGAGUACCGCGGGGCACGUGAAACCCCGUGGGAAUCUGGGAGGACCAUCUUCCAAGGCUAAAUACUUCCUGGCGACCGAUAGUGCACAAGUACCGUGAGGGAAAGGUGAAAAGCACCCCUAUCAGGGGAGUGAAAUAGAUCCUGAAUCCGUUUGCCUACAUUCAGUGGGAGCCCUAUGGGCGGUGGCAACACCGUCCAGGGUGACCGCGUGCCUUUUGCAUAAUGAGUCAGCGAGUUACUUUGCGCAGCAAGGUUAAGGUCCUAUCGACCGGAGCCGUAGCGAAAGCGAGUCUGAACAGGGCGACUAGUUGCGUGAAGUAGACCCGAAGCGGGAUGAUCUACCCAUGGCCAGGGUGAAAGUCGGGUAAAACCGACUGAAGGCCCGAACCGGUGUUGGUUGAAAACAGCUCGGAUGAGCUGUGGGUAGGGGUGAAAGGCCAAUCAAAUUCCGUGAUAGCUGGUUCUCCCCGAAAUAUAUUUAGGUAUAGCCUCGAGUGAUGACUCGUGGAGGUAGAGCACUGGAUGGGCGCGGGAUCUUACCAGAUUACCAAACCUAACCAAACUCCGAAUGCCACGAAGUUUAGCUCGGGAGUCAGACCCUGGGAGAUAAGUUCCGGGGUCGAGAGGGAAACAGCCCAGACCGCCAGCUAAGGUCCCUAAAUCUAGGCUAAGUGGAGAAGGAUGUGGAAGCGCACAGACAACCAGGAGGUUGGCUUAGAAGCAGCCAUCCUUUAAAGAAAGCGUAACAGCUCACUGGUCAAGUGAAUCUGCGCCAAAAAUUCAACGGGGCUCAAGCCUAGUACCGAAGCUGCGGACUUCCAGAACCCCCGGGUUCCGGGAGUGGUAGGGGAGCAUUCCAGUUGCCUGUGAAGGCAGACCGCGAGGACUGCUGGAGGUCCUGGAAGAGCGUAUGCUGACAUUAGUAGCGAUAAUGCAUGUGAAAAACAUGCACGCCGUAAGCCUAAGGUUUCCUGAGUAAAGUUAAUCUUCUCAGGGUUAGCCGGUCCCUAAGCCGAGGCCGACAGGCGUAGGCGAUGGAAAACGGGUUAAUAUUCCCGUGCCACUAGGGCAACGUUAUCAGCGAAGGGGUGACGGAGAAGGGUAGACCAUCCGGGUGUUGGACGUCCCGGUUUAAGCCUGUAGGAGGGUUCGGUAGGCAAAUCCGCCGGGCCAUAACUCCGAGAGGUGACGACGAGGGAGCUUGCUCCCAUAAAGUGGUUGAACCCACGCUUCCAAGAAAAGCCUCGUAGCGAGUCGUCCUGGUGACCGUACCGCAAACCGACACAGGUAGGCAGGGAGAGUAUCCCAAGGCGCUUGAGUGAAACCUGGUUAAGGAACUCGGCAAAAUAACACCGUAACUUCGGGAAAAGGUGUGCCUCUAUUAGGUGUAGGACUUCGCGUCUGAAGCCGAAGGAGGUUGCAGUGAAAAGGCAGUGGCGACUGUUUAAUAAAAACACAGGGCUGUGCUAAGUCGUAAGACAACGUAUACAGCCUGACGCCUGCCCGGUGCCGGAAGGUUAAGGGGAGCCGUUAAUUCAGGGUAACCUGGGUGAAGCGGUGAACUGAAGCCCCGGUAAACGGCGGCCGUAACUAUAACGGUCCUAAGGUUAACGAUUCGCUAGCCUUAGUAAAACUGAACCAUAUGCGGGAAACUCCUCAACAGCCGAUCGGUACUCGCCGGCCAAGCGGUCGACAGUAAAAAUCCGACGGACACGGGGACAAUCCGCAGGGAAGGCCUGGUCUGCGCCAGGAACCCUCAGAGACUUGACGUUCGGGACCUACCGAUGAAGCUCGACUCUCAAUGGGUGACAGGCUUUGUGGACGGUGAAGGUUGUUUCUACGUGGGGAUCAAUCCUCAUCCGGAAAUGACCGCAGGUUUUCAGGUUUUACCUGAAUUUACCGUCGUGCAGCACAAACGCGAUGUGCAACUGCUUCAUGCCUUGAAGUCUUUCUUCGAUUGUGGGGUUGUUCGAACCAACCACGGCGAUAGGAUGGCUUACAGGGUUCGAAGCAAAGAGCACUUACUUGAGCGCAUCGUCCCAUUUUUUAUCGAGCACCCGCUGAAAUCGAAGAAGCGCGUCGACUUCGAGAAGUUCAGACGAGUUCUCCUCAUGAUGAAAGCGGGUGAUCAUUUGAAGUCCGAAGGUGUGGAGGAAAUUCGCCGCAUCGUGGCUCAGAUGAAUCGAGGUGGGUCAAGGUAAAGUCCGGCCUAUUCGGAAACGGAUGGGGUGAACCGAGCGAAAUUCCUUGUCGGGUAAGUUCCGACCUGCACGAAUGGCGUAACGACUGCUGCUCUGUCUCAACCAGGUGCUCAGCGAAGUUGAAAUGUCGGUGAAGAUGCCGACUGCCCGCGCCAAGACGGAAAGACCCCGUGCACCUUUACUACAACUUAGCAAUGGAUCUCGGGUCAACAUGUGUAGGAUAGGUGGGAGGCGUCGAAAUCGGGCCGCUAGGUCCGAUGGAGCCAACCUUGAAAUACCACCCUUGUUGUUCUGAGGUUCUAACCUGGGCCCGUCAUCCGGGUCAGGGACAUUGCUUGGUGGGUAGUUUGACUGGGGCGGUCGCCUCCUAAAGAGUAACGGAGGCGCGCGAUGGUUCCCUCAGGCUGAUUGGAAACCAGCCGUAGAGUGUAAAGGCAUAAGGGAGCUUAACUGCGAGACCAACAAGUCAAGCAGGUACGAAAGUAGGUCUUAGUGAUCCGGCGGUCCCGCAUGGAAGGGCCGUCGCUCAACGGAUAAAAGGUACGCCGGGGAUAACAGGCUUAUCU
This is a non-coding RNA of Actinobacteria bacterium RBG_13_63_9, 3221 nucleotides long. The record is from Rfam. Lineage: Bacteria; Bacillati; Actinomycetota.